CCUACGGGAGGCAGCAGUGGGGAAUAUUGGACAAUGGGCGAAAGCCUGAUCCAGCAAUGCCGCGUGAGUGAUGAAGGCCUUCGGGUCGUAAAGCUCUUUUACCAGGGAUGAUAAUGACAGUACCUGGAGAAUAAGCUCCGGCUAACUCCGUGCCAGCAGCCGCGGUAAUACGGAGGGAGCUAGCGUUGUUCGGAAUUACUGGGCGUAAAGAGUACGUAGGCGGUUAUUCAAGUCAGAGGUGAAAGCCCGGGGCUCAACCCCGGAACUGCCUUUGAAACUAGAUAACUAGAGUCUUGGAGAGGUUAGUGGAAUUCCGAGUGUAGAGGUGAAAUUCGUAGAUAUUCGGAAGAACACCAGUGGCGAAGGCGACUAACUGGACAAGUACUGACGCUGAGGUACGAAAGCGUGGGGAGCAAACAGGAUUAGAUACCCUGGUAGUCCACGCCGUAAACGAUGAUAACUAGUUGUUCGGUCACUUGGUGACUGAGUGACGCAGCUAACGCAUUAAGUUAUCCGCCUGGGGAGUACGGUCGCAAGAUUAAAACUCAAAGAUUAGACGGCGNGNGAGNGCGACGACGACGACGAGGAGGAG
Molecule: ribosomal RNA, 592 nt
Filed under: uncultured bacterium
Lineage: Bacteria
Description: bacterial SSU rRNA
Rfam family: Bacterial small subunit ribosomal RNA
Source: RNAcentral